Acipenser ruthenus (sterlet) is the source of this 2054-nucleotide long non-coding RNA. RefSeq lists it as uncharacterized. The transcript has 4 exons. Lineage: Eukaryota; Metazoa; Chordata; Actinopteri; Acipenseriformes; Acipenseridae. The record is from RefSeq and is a predicted model, not a curated record.
ACGCGCAUGACAGUUAAUUUGUUUAGGGUUAAUUUAUGUGUAACAAGGGUUAGUACAAUUUCAAAUUUUCCAAUUGUACUAUUAGUUUUUGAAAAAAAUAAGAUCACACAUUUUUUCCAAAGAAAAAGGCGAGGUUGGCUGCACAGCGCUGAAACAUAUUAUCCACAAUGCUUUGUGCGGUAUGAGCGGGAAUAGGCGCCAUUUAUCUGCAGCCAGAUCACAGAUCAGCCAGUUUGACGUGCAGAGGAGAGUGCAGUGUGUCAGAUAUUUGGGUUGGCUGCUUCGUGUCAGGUUGGCAUGCUUUCUGUAAUUUGGGAUGGAAACCUCAAAGCUACUACCUGGAGGUUGAUGAGCUCCACAAUAUCCAAUGAUUGAGCUGUACAGUUCAACUGGGUUGGGCGAGGUAUCAAAAGAGCUUUCAAGGAUCUUCUUCUGAAGAACAUAACUUUCAGAGCUGUAAGGGCUAAUGUUUUUACAAAGAGUGCCACGGAGGAGCCUUUCAGCCUUGGCAAUGAACUGGCUACGAUAUGCCAAAGACCGCAGUGGAGGCCGGAGGCAGAGGUCAGAGGCUGCUGCAGCAUCUCAAGAGAUGGGAGGUGUUUGUUUUUUUUGUAAGCUUUUCUAAUAAAACAUUUGAUCGCAAAAAACAAUAUGGAAACUUAAAUUUAAAAAGUGCGAUUACAAGACUUGUGUUUUUUUUUUUACUUUAAUGCAAAAUAGAUCAAAUCAAAUAAGUCAAGCAGUUUGUAAAAAAUAAUUCUGUUAACAUUUAAAAUAAUUUCAAAAUAUUUACUUGUUUGUGAUGGUAAUCUGAGAGUAACAAAUGUUUAAGACCUAAUUAGCUAAUAAUCUCCAUUAAACUACUAAUGUUUAAUGACAUAGGUCCAACGUACUGUCUGACAAUUAGCCAACAUGGGGCCAAUGAUGGUAUUUAACAUUGGGCCAAUUUUGUUGGGCUAGUGUAGGGCCGAUGAGCAAAACAAUGUUGGGCCAAUUUUGGGCGCUGACAUAGGGCCAAUGUACUGUCUGACAAUUAUCCAACAUAGGGCCAAUGUUGGCAUAUUUACUGGGAAGUUUGCCAAAUCCUUUUUUAUUCAUUUUUUUUGCUUGUGAGUGAAUUUUCUUUGAUACGUUGUUGUUAAUCCCUGCAGUAUCAAGCAUAUGCAACAUUCUAAAUGAACCCAUAUUUAUUUAUUUAUUUAUUUAGCAGACUCCUUUAUCCAAGGCAACUUACAGAGACUAGGGUGUGAACUAUGCAUCAGCUGCAGAGUCACAGCUACGUCUCACCCGAAAGACAGAGCACAAGGAGGGUAAGUGACUUGCUCAGGGUCACACAAUGAGUCAGUGGCUGAGGUGGGAUUUGAACCGGGGACCGCCUGGUUACAAGCCCUUUUCUUUAACCACUAGACCACACAGCCUCCACCUAUAUUAAUACUGGAUCUCAUUUUGGAAUCUAACAUGCAGUCAUUCAAAUCCAAUGGCAGAAUAAAUUGUGACCUCUAAUGAACUGAAUCACCUCACUUCCUACAUUUUUGAUGUGCUUAUGAUAAAAGCCUGUUUUUAAAGGGUUAAAAAUACUUGCUUUAAUAAGGAUACAUCUUCUGAGAUGAAGGAUUUUUUUUAAUGUAUGCCACAAAGAAAAACACCUGCUUAAUUUGUUUGUAUUUUAUAUUAAGAAUAUCUGUAAUUAUUUUUAGAGUUAAUACUAAGGAGAUUAGUUUUGAAAAACAGGUUAAAUAGAAAUCAGGAGAUUCAGUGGUUAACUAUGGGGGAGUUUCCCAUGUGGGUUCUAAUUUUACUCUUGAGCUUGAGCCAAAUGAAAAAUGGCCCUAAACAUUUUGUGUUUCCAUUGCCUCGGUUUAUUAUACUCGAGAUGACCCUCUUUUCACCUGACAUCAUACAAAUGAAGGAGAAAGGAGGAGGUCGAUAUGCAAAUUAGUCAUGCGUAGAUUUCUCGUGCUGUUUUCGCAGACAGCUCGGUAAAAUGUGUUUUCCAUGCACAGAGAACAGAUACAUGAGAGAAUCUCACCUGGAAAUCCAUAGUUGUCAGGUGA